RNAcentral lists this ribosomal RNA (460 nucleotides) under uncultured bacterium. Its description in RNAcentral is "partial 16S ribosomal RNA". It matches the Rfam family "Bacterial small subunit ribosomal RNA", at positions 338 to 795 of the family's 1533-position model. The record is from RNAcentral.
CCUACGGGCGGCAGCAGUGAGGAAUAUUGGUCAAUGGGCGAGAGCCUGAACCAGCCAAGUCGCGUGAAGGAUGACGGUCCUACGGGUUGUAAACUUCUUUUGUCAGGGAGCAAUUGCGUCCACGCGAAGGCGUAGCGAGAGUACCUGACGAAAAAGCAACGUCUAACUCCGUGCCAGCAGCCUCGGUAAGAAGGAGGAUGCGGGGGUUAUCCGGAUUUAUUGGGUUUAAGGGGGGCGUAGUCGGAAUGUCAAGUCAGCGGUAAAGGUUCGGGGCUCAACCCCGUCGUGCCGUUGAAACGGAUGGUCUUGAGUGGGCGAGAGGUAUGCGGAAUGCGUGGUGUAGCGGUGAAAUGCUUAGAUAUCACGCAGAACUCCGAUUGCGAAGGCAGCAUACCGGCGCACAACUGACGCUGAGGCACGAAAGCGUGGGUAUCGAACAGGAUUAGAUACCCGUGUAGUC